AUCUCUGUAGAGUCUGCAUAUCAAUAAGCGGAGGAAAAGAAACUAACAAGGAUUCCCUUAGUAACGGCGAGUGAAGCGGGAAGAGCUCAAAUUUGAAAUCUUCAAGGUUUUACCUUGACGAAUUGUAGUUUAAAGAAGUGUUUUCUGUUGAAGUUUCGGUAAAAGUUCUUUGGAAUAGGACAUCAUAGAGGGUGAGAAUCCCGUAUUUGACCGUUAUUUUCAGCUGUGUGAUACACUUUCAAAGAGUCGGAUUGUUUGGGAAUGCAGUCCAAAAUGGGUGGUAAAUUUCAUCUAAAGCUAAAUAUUGGCGAGAGACCGAUAGCGAGCAAGUACCGUGAGGGAAAGAUGAAAAGAACUUUGAAAAGAGAGUUAAACAGUACGUGAAAUUGUCAAAAGGGAAGCGUUUGACACCAGUGUUGUUUUCUCGAAAAUCAAUUAAAAAUGAGCUUUGAUUUUGUGUUGUAUUGACCUUAACAGCUUUCUGCACUUAAUUUUCAUGUCUUUUUUAAUGCACUUUUCGUUUAACAAGUCAACAUCAGUUUCUUUUGUUGUAAAAAGGUCAUUGGAAGGUGGCUUUCUUUUCGGAGAAAGUGUUUAUAGCCUUUGACUCCUGCAAUCGGAGAGACUGAGGUCUGCAGCGUAGAUCCUUCUUGGAUUAGAUUCAUUUGUGCUAAGUUAUAGCUUUUUAUAGACAACCUGUUGACUAUAUUUAGUCUUGUAGCUUACUCGCUUAUGCAAUUUUACCUACGCUUAGGAUGUUGAACGCGCACAGAGUCUC
RNAcentral lists this ribosomal RNA (778 nucleotides) under uncultured Neocallimastigales. Its description in RNAcentral is "partial large subunit ribosomal RNA". It matches the Rfam family "Eukaryotic large subunit ribosomal RNA", at positions 24 to 611 of the family's 3401-position model. The record is from RNAcentral. Lineage: Eukaryota; Fungi; Neocallimastigomycota; Neocallimastigomycetes; Neocallimastigales.